CCGAGGCGGUGCCCGAUGCUGUUCCAGAGGCCGAGGCAGUGACCAAUGCUGUUCCGGAGGCCGAGGCCGUGACCGAUGCCGAGGCCGAGGCGGUGCCCGAGGCGGUGCCCGAUGCCGAGGCGGUGCCCGAUGCAGUUCCGGAGGCCGAGGCGGUGCCCGAUGCCGAG
Molecule: long non-coding RNA, 167 nt
Organism: Carassius carassius (crucian carp)
Lineage: Eukaryota; Metazoa; Chordata; Actinopteri; Cypriniformes; Cyprinidae
Exons: 3
Source: RefSeq, a predicted model, not a curated record